CAAUAGCGUAUAUUUAAGUUGUUGCAGUUAAAAAGCUCGUAGUCGGAUUUUGUCUGAGAACGAACGGUCCGCCGUUAGGUGUGCACUGUUUGGUCUCAGCUUCCUGGUGAGGAGGUGUGCUUCACGGCCACUUAGUCACCGUGGUUACUUUGAAAAAAUUAGAGUGUUCAAAGCGGGCUUACGCUUGAAUAUAUUAGCAUGGAAUAACACCAUAGGACUCCUGUCCUAUUUCGUUGGUCUCGGGACGGGAGUAAUGAUUAAGAGGAACAGUUGGGGGCAUUCGUAUUUCAUUGUCAGAGGUGAAAUUCUUGGAUUUAUGAAAGACGAACUUCUGCGAAAGCAUUUGCCAAGGAUGUUUUCAUUGA
RNAcentral lists this ribosomal RNA (365 nucleotides) under uncultured eukaryote. RNAcentral's name for it is "partial 18S ribosomal RNA". It matches the Rfam family "Eukaryotic small subunit ribosomal RNA", at positions 592 to 976 of the family's 1831-position model. The record is from RNAcentral.